Molecule: ribosomal RNA, 427 nt
Filed under: uncultured Planctomycetota bacterium
Lineage: Bacteria; Pseudomonadati; Planctomycetota
Description: bacterial SSU rRNA
Rfam family: Bacterial small subunit ribosomal RNA
Source: RNAcentral
CUCAACCGUGAAAUGGCGUUGGAAACCGGAUGGCUUGAGCAGGCUAGGGGUGUGUGGAACUUCCAGUGGAGCGGUGAAAUGUGUUGAUAUUGGAAGGAACGCCGGUGGCGAAAGCGACACACUGGGGCCUGACUGACGCUGAGGCACGAAAGCCAGGGUAGCGAACGGGAUUAGAUACCCCGGUAGUCCUGGCUGUAAACGCUGGGCACUAGUUGGGAGAGGCUUCGGCCCCUCCGGACGCAGAGAAAUCACUAAGUGCCCCGCCUGGGGAGUAUGGUCGCAAGGCUGAAACUCAAAGGAAUUGACGGGGGCUCACACAAGCGGUGGAGCAUGUGGCUUAAUUCGAGGCAACGCGAAGAACCUUAUCCUGGAUUUGACAUCAAGGGAUUANCCUCCUGAAAGGGAGGUGACGCCNUCGGGUGGAACC